CCUCCGAUAGCUCAAUUGGUAGAGCGCUCAGUUACUCUAAUUGUCGUUCAGGUAGAUAAUAUCUAAGAGAUGCUGGUUCGAAUCCAGCUCGGAGGA
Molecule: transfer RNA, 96 nt
Organism: Stereum hirsutum FP-91666 SS1
Lineage: Eukaryota; Fungi; Basidiomycota; Agaricomycetes; Russulales; Stereaceae
Rfam family: tRNA
About the family: Transfer RNA (tRNA) molecules are approximately 80 nucleotides in length. Their secondary structure includes four short double-helical elements and three loops (D, anti-codon, and T loops). Further hydrogen bonds mediate the characteristic L-shaped molecular structure. tRNAs have two regions of fundamental functional importance: the anti-codon, which is responsible for specific mRNA codon recognition, and the 3' end, to which the tRNAs corresponding amino acid is attached (by aminoacyl-tRNA synthetases). tRNAs cope with the degeneracy of the genetic code in two manners: having more than one tRNA (with a specific anti-codon) for a particular amino acid; and 'wobble' base-pairing, i.e. permitting non-standard base-pairing at the 3rd anti-codon position.
Source: Rfam